RNAcentral lists this ribosomal RNA (320 nucleotides) under uncultured eukaryote. RNAcentral describes it as "partial 18S ribosomal RNA". It matches the Rfam family "Eukaryotic small subunit ribosomal RNA", at positions 1470 to 1796 of the family's 1831-position model. The record is from RNAcentral.
CCCCUAGAUGUUCUGGGCCGCACGCGCGCUACACUGAACAGUUCAACAAGUCUUAACCUUGGCCGAUAGGUCUGGGUAAUCUUUGAACGCUGUUCGUGAUUGGGAUAGACCUUUGCAAUUAUGGGUCUUCAACGAGGAAUUCCUAGUAAACGCAAGUCAUCGGCUUGCAUUGAUUACGUCCCUGCCCUUUGUACACACCGCCCGUCGCACCUACCGAUUGAAUGGUCCGGUGAAAUCUCGGGACGGCGGCUUGGUCGCUUGCGUCCGACUGCUGAAACUUGAUUAAACCAUAUCAUUUAGAGGAAGGUGAANUCGUANCA